Molecule: long non-coding RNA, 3932 nt
Filed under: Canis lupus familiaris (dog)
Lineage: Eukaryota; Metazoa; Chordata; Mammalia; Carnivora; Canidae
Description: lncRNA (ENSCAFG00030010617.1)
Source: RNAcentral
AUGAUUCCAGCCACCGCAGGAAUGUUUGUUCCAAGCCAGAGCUUCCUUGGAAAAACACAGGUUAAACCAAAGCCAGCUGCUCUUUGGGCAGUGACCUGGUUCCAUAUGACAAACAGCAAAGGAUUCUGUUUUAAAGAAGGACGUGGGGGGCAGCCCCAGUGGUGCAGCGGUUUAGCGCCACCUGCAGCCCAGGGUGUGAUCCUCGAGACCCAGGAUCGAGUCCCACAUCGGCUUCCCUGCCUUGAGCCUGCUUCUCCCUCUGCCUGUGUCUCUGCCUCUGUGUGUGUGUGUGUGUGUGUGUGUGUGUGUGUGUCUCAUGAAUAAAUAAAUAAAAUAUUUAAAAAAUAAUAAUAAUAAAAUAAAGAAGGACAUGGGUCUAGAAAGAAAAGACUAUUUACUUAUUGUCAAACCAGAAAACUCUUCGGAAUGAGCAUGGUCAUGUGGAAGAAGGACAUGUGUUUUCAGGUGGCAGAAUGAAUACAAUCGAGGGCACAGACCUUGGAGCCCGUACAGCUGCAGCUCUCUGUUCCCUGUGCCCGGAUGAAGCAGUCAUGGCAGUGGGAGGAAAGUGGGGGAACACAUAGGCUCUCUGAUAAAACAGGGAAAAGAGAGUAAUGAGGUCCCAGAGAUGAAACAAGUCAACCCCUCUGACUCUGGACUCUGUCACUUCAGACGUUCGGUAGAUCUUACAGAGAGGUGUGUUUCUUCUCACCAUCAGGGUGGCCCCUUGGAGGAUUUCACAGGACUGUGUCUCAAAGGGGAUCCUCUCAAUAUUCCAAUUCCAGAGCAAGCUGAUCUGAAAAACAAAUUAGCUCAGUCUGGCAGUAUUGAUCAAGCAGGGGUAAAUGGAGCCACUGCGUAGGUUUCUUUAAAGUCAUGAUAUGAGGCAGCCCGGGUGGCUCAGUGCUGUAGUGCCGCCUUUGGCCCAGGGUGUGGCCCUGGAGACCUAGGAUCGAGUCCCCCAUUGGGCUCCCUGCGUGGGACCUGCUUCUCCCUCUGCCUGUGUCUCUGCCUCUCUCUCUCUCUUUCUGUCUCUCAUGAAUGAAUAAAUAAAUAAAAUCUUAAAAAAUAAGUAAACAAAUAAAUAAAUAAAGUUAUGAUAUGACAACAGAAUGUGCAAAUGUUGGGGCACCUGGGUGGUGCAGCCAUUUGAGCAUCCAACUCUUGGUUUCGGCUCAGGUCAUGAUCUUGGGGUCCUGGGAUCAAGCCCCAUGUCAGGCUCCACACUCGGCAUGGAAUCUGCUUAAGAGUCUCUCUCUCCCUCUCCCUCUGCCCCUCCUAUUCAUGCUCUCUCUCUCUCUCUCUCUCUCUCCCUCUCACUCUCAAAUAAAUAAAUAAAAUCUUAAAAAAAAAAAAAAAAAGAAUGUCCCAAUGUUGCCAGUCCCCAAGUACCAUUGAGGCACAAAUCCUGCCUCCUGACCUUGAGGCAUCACCAUCUUGCCACAAAGAACAAGAGCAAUGGCAGGUCAGUGCUGGGCUGACCCUCCCGAUUAAAUACCAGCCUUGCUUUCCUUUCCCCCUCAAGAGAGCAUGGGAACAUACAUGGCCACGUGGACCCUGUGAAGGUAAAAAGUGCUGCAUCAGGAGAUCUUAAAUCAGGAUAACAAAGGCUCCCUGGGCAGAGUUCAAUUAAUAACUUCCAGACCCGCCCUGGUUUUGAUAGCACUGUGGUUAAUACCAUGCAAAAUCCUAGUAGAAAAAAUGUACCUGAUAAGGUUGGGUUUCCAUGAGAUUUUUCCCAACAUGCAUAACUGAAACAGUUGAUAAAGAUGUCAAAGUGAGUGUGAACUGUCACCCCCACACACCCAGGCCCUGGACAGCCCUUUCAUAUGCACGGCUCUGUUCGUAAGAGCACUCAAGAGUUAAGACAUGAUAAAUGAUCUGUGCAAGCAGGCAUUGGAAAGUGACAAUCAAGACCUAAGAGGAGUUUAACAAUAUGUUGUGACAGGUAAGUUUGAAUAUGCAGAUUAGAAAGAUCAUGUUUCUUAGCCGUUUCUUUAAUUAUAGCUUUGAAAGAGAAGGUUCCAUUUCCAGCUUCAUGGAGGAAGCUAUGUGGUGAUGUCUCCAUUAAUUAUGGCUGUCUGUGUGUUGUUGAGAAGGUUCACAAUUCCCCGCCCUCGGGUAGGUCCCAGGCUCGAACACCCUAUCCACAGGUGGUCAGUGCAGUUCUCAAAAAAGGGGGGAGGUCAACAGGCCAUCCACUUGGACUCACACAGCCCCCUCUGUCCUUGACCGCAUAUCCUUGAUGCCAGAGACUGCAUCAGCACGAGUGGCACGCCAUCUCCAAAGCAUUGACUCCCUGGGCACCAACGCCAUCACCCAUCAUGGUCAUUAACAUUAUUGGAGAGCUGCUUGUGUCACUGAUGUUUUUGUCAUCUGUCCUUUGCAAAGGGGUACGUUCAGGGAACAUUUGGACCCACCUGUCGGAAAAGCCGUGGCUAGGAAGAAUUCUAAAUGACAUGCAAAAAUACUUCCCCCUCCAGCCAGUGAGCUGAACACCACCUUUGCUCCCCUGGGGUGUGGGCUUGACCCCAUGACACACUUCCAAAGGAUAGAAUAUAGGAUUAUAUAGGAUAUAAUAUAUAGAAUAUAGGAUAGAAUAUAGGAAAGAGAGGGUAAAGUUACUUUGGAGAAACCUGGCACACUCCACCUGCACCAAAUGGUCAUGAUUAUCAUGCCCAGCAAUAUCAUGACCAAUAUGAUGUCCCAAUAUGAUGCCCUCCACCGGGAACCUCACCUUCCUGAUAUUCUUGCCCAAAAGUACCUAAGCCCCAGCAUCAACAUGAGAAAAGCCUCAGGGAAACCCAGAUGAGGGGCAUUCUACACAAUAGACCAACACUCUUGGAAAAUGUCCAAAACCACAAAGGAAGGCUGAGAAGCCAUCACAGACCAGAGGAGCCUGAGGAGGCAGGAGAAAUAAGUGCCAUGUGUGGCCCUGGACGGGAUCCUGGACCAAGAAGAAUCGAGAGUGGGGAAGACUAGAGAGGUCUGAACAAAGUCUGAUGUCUGGUCAUUAGUAAUGGGGCCACACUAAUCUCUUAGUCCUGGCAGAGGCACCAUGGUCAUGCAAGACGGGAACAUCAGGCAGAUCGGGUGAGGGGGACAUGGGGACAGGGCUGGGACCAGGCACAGGUGAGAGAGACAUCUGGAUGCAAAUUCAGGGAGGCGCUCAUUCUCAGGGUGUGGCACAUGCUGGCCUGGCAUGGCCCUGGGUAGGAACUCUGUGCUACAUUUGUAACUUUUCUGCAAAUCCAAAGUUAUUCCAAAAUAAAACAUGUAUGAAAGAAAAAGUUUCCGGUUGGAAUCUUGCAAUAUCCUCAUUAGCAUAUGGAACAGUGGAAUUCCUGGCAAAAGAAGGGGAGAAUCUAGCACAAGGACGAGGCAGGGUCCCAUGAGUGUAGGGGUUGGCCUAUUUAUUAUACCUGCUGUCCAGGUGCACAUGGACCUGUGGCAUAAUGUGUAGCACAGACAGUGUCACUAGGCAGCGUCAGCAAACCAACUUGGGUGCAAUAGUCAAAUAGGAGCAACCCAGGUAAGGUACCCAUGUUUAACAAAACCCAAAGGGACUCCUUAACUUGGGGCCUUAUAAACCCAAUCAAAGUACCUGUUGAGGAUGUUGGUCCGUGUGUCAUUGGGAGUAUAUUGAUGGGUACACUCACUGCUUCCAGCCAAAUGAGGAUAUAGUGUGGAUUCUGAUAAGAACCCCUGAAAACCUGACAACAGCCCUAAAUCAAGGUGGACAGAGUCUAGUUGGGUCUGGAAAUGGGUGAGACCCAUGUUACUCUGGCCACAUCCAAACUGGACUGGUUGGGAGGGUGCUCCUGCCUAGCAACCCCAUGCCUAUUGGCCACAGGGGCUCUCAGCUUUCACCAUGAACCCCAGUAAGGAGCCACAGAGUGUUACAAGCCUCUCUCCCUCCCUGAACUUUCUGC